UGAGCUGCGCAAUUCACGCACUUUUGGAGCCCCCUCUCUCGCCUCUCCUGGUUUCAGCUCCCCCAAGUGCCUGCAUCCCCAUCUCGGGGAGACGCUGCAGCCCUGGGUCUCCUAGCCGGGCCAGUGUUUCUUCCCAAGGCCCAGAGUCCCCCAAGAGGCGGUGCGGGCUGGCCAUCCUUCAGCUUCCUGCAGACGCUGUGGCGUGCGCUCCCACUGCUCACCCCCCACCCCCCUCGCUGGGGUUACAGCAGCCACACGGACUUGCAGAUGCGUGGCCUGGCGUAGCACCGGGAGGAAUUCACAUUUGACUGUGAAUCUGGCCUCGGAGCAUCCCAGGAGGCGCGGGCCGGGCGCCGCCACGUCUGCCGUGCAACUCUGGCUGAGCCCUGUAAGCUGUCAGGGCCUUGGAGGCUGUCCCUGGGUCCAGAGACGCCACAGGAAACUUUGGGAUAAACUUUGCAAACUUCUUUCUCCGCGCCAGAGAAGCCGCCGGUCGGAAAGACUUCAGCCGCGGUGGCGUGGACCCCAGGCCGGAUUUGUGCACCGCAGAGCGGCCCGGCCUCCCUAGGAGGAGCGCGAGGUUCUCCAGCAGGCCCUCCGCGCUCCUGAUCCUCCCGGACCAGGCCCUUUGCCAUCGGCCUUCCAGUGGCCAGAUCUGCGCGGCGGCUCCCGGAAUCCAGCAUGGAUGGAAAACCGUGGCCCUGAGCAAGAAGUCUGUCCCCUCCCCCGCCCGUGGAUCUGCUUCCCCGGCAUCCCCUUCUCAUCCAUCUUGGGAGAUGAAUAUGUCGCCUUAUUGGAUGCGGAGGCCAGAGCAGGGCGAUGGGGCUCGGCCAACGUCGCACAUUUUCUUCAUGCAUAUUGAGAAUAUGGUAAUGAGCACGUUUGCAUUGUUGCAUGGAAAUGAUGCCUUUCCCUCUGCUGUGCGGAGUGGACAAGGUUGGUGUGGACCCAAAACAGCCCGAUAGUGGCCACUGGGCCUUGUGGCCCUAGUUAUCCACUGGGGGACGAAGAAGUGACCUCUCGGAGCGCCCUGCACGCCCUCCGCCUGCUCUGGCUUCCACAAAGGCGCCGCUGCCCAGGUUAAAGCCUGGUGAAGGGAAAUCAGCCUAGCCCGCCCGACUGUCUGGCGCGCCCCAGGUCCAGCGGCCUCGGAACCUUUCCCGGCGAUCAGAGUCCUGUGAAGGAGAGCCUGGCUGUGUUCUCUAACGGCUACACGUUGUUUGCGACUCGAGUGAUCUUUUAGAAUGAAACAUAGCCACACCGUGUGCCCUGCGCCACAUGCGUCUCCUUCAUCCUGGGGGUGCGUGGGCAUCGUUUGACCGUGUCAGGUUGACCCAGUUGGCUGUCAGAGACCCACUUCUUUUCUAGACAUGGGCUCAGUGGUGAGGAGGCUGACUCCCAGUAAUCCAACAGAGGCAGCCAAGCUCUGGUGAAGGGGCCCAGGCCCUUCAGAAGGGUGAAGGUCUGUAGAGGCAGGUCAGGCUCUGCUUGGGGCUGGGAGGGAAGAGAUUUAUGCUUGCUGGGAGCUCAGGGUAGCAGCAGUCAAACUCCACACAGCCCACCAGGACAUUUUCCUGCCUCCUCGUCCCCUACUUCCUACGAGGGAAGUCCCUAGCAGGGGCUCCGUAGACAAAAUGCACUGUGGAAAGGCGGCCAUUGUCUAGGGUCAGGUUUCUCAACCUUCAAGCAUCCUGCCAGCACUUCUACUGUUAGGGACUGAAGAUUUUUCCUUAAAUUGAGUCCUUUUCAAAACUCAAAUGCAUCGUUUUGGAAAAGUAUUUGGUCCGUCCACCACUUCUGCAGACUGGGAAGUAGCUGUGGGCAGAAAAGAAACAGCGAACAGCAAACCAAGCAAACGAAGCUCCUGAGCCUUGCCCCUUCCUGCUUGGGGUUCAAGUACACCCUGUGCUAUUAACAAACGCUGGGGGGUGUGAGUAGUGACUCUAAGAAAUGAGAGCAUGAAAAGGGAAUGUUUCUUGGUCCUCUAUGAGCUAAAAUGAUGCCAAGGGUCUCCAGGGCUGUCCUGGCUUAGCGUUUGCUGGUGCUGUUCUGUUAAAAACAAAUGCGAACAUGUUAAGGCAAAACUUAACAUGCUGAGUUAUUAUUACCAAAUCAUCUCAUUCAACGUUUUCAGGCAGCACUGCAUUUAAUUCUCACCAUCCCUCAGUAGGCAGACUGUUGAGAGGCCACAUGUGAUUGUGUAGGAUGUUUACUGAGCAGCAGACUUCCAAGAGGGUAAGAGGGUACUGAAGUCACCCCCUCUGGGUUCACCAAGUUGUGUGUCCUGGUUUAGGCAAAACACAGAAACUAUUAAUCUGUACAAAAAAGUUGGGAGGAUGACUCAGUCCUUGGAAAAAUUGGAAAACUGAGGGUUUGGGAAUUUGGAAAAGUGUGGAUUGAUGUUUUCAACUGUUCCCUCUGGGACCAGAGGGUUGGAGUCUUUGAGACUAGGGGCAGGGAUCUGGGAAGACCAUCCACUGGAUGAGUUGAAGGGAAGAGCCAACAGGACCCCAGAUGCCUAUCCCUUAAGCUCCUUACUCGUUACCAAGUCCUUGGACUGGGCUGGAGCAAACACUGAAUGGGUGUCCAGGCUGCAGUGUCCCUUGCGGGAGGGGAGGAGAGGUCUACAGUUUUAGGUCUAAUGAUGGGUAUCUGAACAAUGUAGACUUUUCAGAAGUUUACCACAUUCGCCAUCCCCCAUUCCAGUCCACACUGAUGGAGCUUCCAGACUCCUCCUGACACAUGGAGAUGGGGGCUUGGACCUCUCUCUACUUUUGUGGUUAAUCUUAGUAGUGACUUCUCCAUUGAUUGAAUUGUCUAAAUGGUAUUUUAAGACCACUCAAAUAUUUCGAUCUCAAGGUUUGUUUGACAAACUGGAAGGCUAAAAUAUACAAGACCUGUCCUUCAGACCCCUCAUCCAUCUUCCUUCCCUUCCCUUCUCUCUCACUUU
Molecule: long non-coding RNA, 2950 nt
Organism: Onychomys torridus (southern grasshopper mouse)
Lineage: Eukaryota; Metazoa; Chordata; Mammalia; Rodentia; Cricetidae
Exons: 3
Source: RefSeq, a predicted model, not a curated record